Molecule: transfer RNA, 68 nt
Filed under: Potamochoerus porcus (red river hog)
Lineage: Eukaryota; Metazoa; Chordata; Mammalia; Artiodactyla; Suidae
Description: tRNA-Val
Source: RNAcentral
CAAAGUAUAGCCUAAAAUAAAGUACCUAGCUUACACCUAGGAGAUCCCACAACGUAUGGGUACUUUGA